AAGCAUCACGGCCAUUUGACAGUGGCCGAGACGGGUUUGUGAUAGGAGAAGGUUCUGGAGUCUUGGUCUUGGAGGAACUUGAGCAUGCUAAAAAUCGAGGAGCCAAAAUCUAUGCAGAGAUUCGUGGCUAUGGGAUGUCAGGGGAUGCAUAUCACAUUACUCAACCUCCUAGUGAUGGGAGAGGUGCCAUUCUGGCCAUGACUCGUGCUUUAAGAC
Long non-coding RNA from Lathyrus oleraceus (garden pea), 216 nucleotides. RefSeq lists it as uncharacterized. The record is from RefSeq and is a predicted model, not a curated record. The transcript is spliced from 4 exons. Lineage: Eukaryota; Viridiplantae; Streptophyta; Magnoliopsida; Fabales; Fabaceae.